UAAAAAGAUACGAAAGGGCACUAAUAGUGGAUGCCUUGGUGUGUAUUACCGAUGAAGGACGCGGAAGUCUGCGAUAAGUUUUGGGGAGCUGACAACGAGCUUUGAUCCAGAAAUGUCCGAAUGAGGCAACUCUAUGCGAGUCAAAUCGCAUAACCCAUACCUGAAUAUAUAGGGUACGAGGAGGGAACCUGUUGAACUGAAUCAUCUAAGUAGACAGAGGAAAAGAGAAUAAAUAAUGAUUUGGAAAGUAGUGGCGAGCGAAAUCCAAUCAGCGCAAACUUAUUUUGUUCUUAUGAUUUAUCAUAAGUAUGGCGUGUAAGCUAAUGCAAGAUAGGGGUUGAAAGUGAAUAUAAUUUUAGGCUUAAAAGCUGCAAUUUAUUGGAGUUUUUGGGUCUAAAACCGACAGUUACACCUGAGCGGAUGAUGAGAAAACCAUUGAUGUUAGCUGAACCGCUUGAAAGGCGGGCCAGAGAGCGUGAAAGCCGUGUAGGCGAAAACAUCAUUGGCAUUAUAUAUAUUUUCUUGAGUAGGACGGGGCACGAGAAACCCUGUUUGAAUCUGGCAGGACCACCUGCUAACGCUAAAUAUAAUACACGACCGAUAGCGAACAAGUACAGUGAUGGAAAGGUGAAAAGAACCCCGGGAGGGGAGUGAAAUAGAUCCUGAAACUUAGUGCCUACAAGGUGUCGGAGCCGAUUUAUUCGGUGACGGCGUGCUUUUUGUAGAACGAUCCAGCGAGUUAAUUUUGUCGGCAAGGUUAAGUCAUAUGACGGAGCCAUAGUGAAAGCGAGCCUUAACAAGGCGAUAAGUCGGCAGGAUUAGACCCGAAACCGGGUGACCUAACCAUGAGCAGGUUGAAGCUUCCGUAACAGGCAGUGGAGGACCGAACCGUAGAGCGCAGUAAAGCUCCCGGAUGACUUGUGGUUAGCGGUGAAAUGCCAAUCGAACUCGGAGAUAGCUGGUUCACCUCGAAAUAGCUUUAGGGCUAGCGUGAUGUAGUAGCAUAUGGGGGUAGAGCUCUGAAAAGGUCUGGGGCGCGCAAGCGUACCCAUCCUUAUCAAACUACGAAUACCAUAUGUGUAAUCAUUGCAGUCAGAACGGCGGGGCUAAGCUCGUCGCUCAAAAGGGAAACAGCCCAGACCAUCGUCUAAGGUCCCUAAAUAUAUGUUAAGUGGGAAACAAAGUGAGAUUUCUUAAACAGUUAGGAUGUUGGCUUAGAAGCAGCCAUUCAUUUAAAGAGUGCGUAACAGCUCACUAAUCAAGAGAUUUUGCGUGGAAAAUGUAACG
Molecule: ribosomal RNA, 1287 nt
Filed under: Candidatus Nomurabacteria bacterium
Lineage: Bacteria; Candidatus Nomuraibacteriota
Description: partial 23S ribosomal RNA
Rfam family: Bacterial large subunit ribosomal RNA
Source: RNAcentral